This 497-nucleotide ribosomal RNA is filed under the name uncultured bacterium. RNAcentral's name for it is "partial 16S ribosomal RNA". It matches the Rfam family "Bacterial small subunit ribosomal RNA", at positions 28 to 507 of the family's 1533-position model. The record is from RNAcentral.
GAUGAACGCUGGCGGCGUGCCUAAUACAUGCAAGUCGAGCGAACAGACGAGGAGCUUGCUCCUCUGACGUUAGCGGCGGACGGGUGAGUAACACGUGGAUAACCUACCUAUCAGACUGGGAUAACUUCGGGAAACCGGAGCUAAUACCGGGUAAUAUAUUGAACCGAAAGGUUCAAUAGUGAAAGAUGGUUUUGCUGUCACUUAUAGAUGGAUCCGCGCCGCAGUAGCUAGUUGGUACGGUAACGGCUUACCAAGGCGACGAGGCGGAGACGACCUCAGAGGGGGAGCGGCCACCUUGGAACGGAGACUCGUCCCAGACUCCUACGGUAGGCAGCAGUAGGGAAUCUUCCGCAAUGGGCGAAAGCUUGACGGAGCAACGCCGCGUGAGUGAUGAAGGUCUUCGGACGGUAAAACGCUGUUAUUAGGGAAGAACAAAUGUGUAAUUAACUAUGCACGUCUUGACGGUACCUAAUCAGAAAGCCACGGCUAACUACGUG